GAUGGAUAGCUUGGUUUAAAUCGCGAUGAAGGACGUGGCAAGCUGCGAUAAGCUCAGGCGAGUUGCACGCAAACGUUGAACCUGAGAUCUCCGAAUGAGAAACUCUCUCUCUUUUGAGAGAAUUCUGAAAAGAAGGCACACGCCGGGAAUUGAAACAUCUUAGUACCGGCAGGAAAAGAAAAUAAAAAUGAUUCCCUUAGUAGCAGCGAGCGAAAAGGGAAGAGGGCAACCCGAAUCUCACUUUGAAAAAAGUGAGAGAUGUGGUGAAACAAAAUAGGGGCUAAGUCAGCGAGUCGAAGUUCUCUGGAAAGAGACGCCUCAGAAGGUGAUAGCCCUGUAGACGAAGCUGAUAUGCCCUUUGUUUCGAAGAGUAGGGCGUCCUGGAUUGGACGUCUGAAUACGGGAGAAUUAACUCCCAACCCUAAAUAUUGAUUUAAAUCCGAUAGCGCACUAGUACCGUGAGGGAAAGCUGAAAAGCACUCUCGCAAGAGGGUGAAAAGACUUGAAAUCUAAUAGUGUCAAAGUUGCUACGGCACUUCGGUGUUGUAGCGUACGUUUUGAAAAACGGGCCAGGGAGUUUAUCUCUGUGGCAAGGUUAAUGAAAAGAAGCCGAAGCGAAAGCGAGUAUGAAAGUGCGACUUAGUCACAGGGAUAAGACCAGAAGCCAGAUGAUCUAUUCCUGGGCAGGGCGAAGUUUCGCGAAAGCGAAAUGGAGGCCCGAACCGGUGUUGCGUGCAUGCACUCGGAUGACCUGGGAAUAGGGGUGAAAAGCCAAUCUAAUCUGGCGAUAGCUGGUUCCUGCUGAAAUAUACCUUGGUAUAGUCGUGUGUUAUAGCUCGUUGACGAGGUAAAGUACAGAUAAGUUCCGCAGAGCAUAAUUGCUACGGGAACUUUUCUAACUCAGAACUCGUCAACUGCUGGACACACGAAACAGCCGCAGCGUGUAAGACGCUGUGACGAGACCCGAACAAGGGUGACCGAGGUUAAGGUCCCAAAAUAUUUGCUAAGUGUAUCAAAAGGUGUCUUUAUCCUGAGACAGUAGGGAUGUAGGUCUAGAAGCCGCCAUCAUUUAAAGAAAGCGUAACAGCUCACCUAUCGAGGAUAAAGGCCCUGAAAAUGGACGGGACUAAGCAAAUUACCGAUACCUCGGAGGUACCUGGUAUUAGGUACUCUGGUAAGCAGGCGUACUAUCUGCGUCGAAGCUCCAAUGUAAAUUGGAGUGGAGCGGAUAGUAAUGAGAAUCCUGGUGAUAGUAGGAGCGGAUCUUUCUGAGAACCGAAAGAUGUCGAAAGGGCACGGUUUCCUUAGCACUAUCAAUUAGCUAAGGGUUAGUCAGCACCUAAGUCGCAUCUUAACUGAAUGCGACGAUGGGCAACAGGUUAAUAUUCCUGUACUGAUUACUUUCGUUGAGUUAUCAAACAAGCUUCUGGAUAGGCAGAGUGCCGGAAGGCAUAACAAAAGAGAAGCAAACGGAUCGUAAUGAAGAGAAGUUUGCGAAUCUUUUGUGAAUCUGCUGAUUCCAGGAGCCAGUGAAAAGUUUGAUAACGAGAAAGUAAUCAGCUGUACCAAGAACUGACACAGGUGCCCUGGCUGAGCAGGCCAAGACAUGAAAGGUUAAACUGGUUAAGGGAAAUCGGCAAGUUGGUUCCGUAUCUUCGGUAGAAGGAAUGUCUAUUCUCCUGUAUGAUUUUAUUAUACGGGGGAAUAGAUCGCAGUGACAAGGACGGCCCGACUGUUUACCAAAAACAUAGCCAAGCGCAAAUCCGAAAGGACUAGUACGCUUGGUGAAGUCUGCCCAGUGAUGGUGUCCGAAAGCUCCUUUCAAGGAGUCGAAGGCCCAUCAAACGGCGGGGGUAACUAUGACCCUCUUAAGGUAGCGUAAUGCCUUGUCGUCUGAAUGGCGACGUGCAUGAAUGGCUUAACGAGGUCGUCACUGUCCCUAACCAGAACCUUCCGAAAUCACUUACCGGUGAACAGGCCGGUGUCACCUAGUGGGAAGCGAAGACCUUGUAAACCUUUACUGCAACCUGUUGUUGUGGUUUUAUUGUGGGUGCCUAGAGUAGGUAGGAGCGUAGAUGUCUAGCUUCGGCGAAGACGGAGCGAAAGUGGAACACUACCCACUCACAAUAGAACCACUAAUCUUUUUGAGACAGCAACAGGCGGGCAGUUUGGCUGGGGCGGCACCCGGUUGAAAAGAUAUCAAUCGGGCCCAAAGACAAACUCAUCCAGGUCGGAAAUCUGGAGUAGAGUGUAAGGGCAAAAGUUUGUCUGACUGUAUUUCGAAAAGCAAGAAAUACAGGGGUGAAAGCCGGGCCUAGCGAACCACCGAUGUCUUUUAAUGGGACACGGUGAUGACAGAAAAGGUACUUCAAGGACAACAGGCUUGUCGCCCCCGAUAGUCCACAUUGACGGGGCGGUUUGGUACAUCGCUGUCGGCUCUUCCUAACCUGGGCGUGCAUAAGCGCCCAAGGGUGCUGGAGUUCACAUAUUAAAAGGAAUCGUUAGCUGGGUUAAGAACGUCGUGAGACAGUUUGUAUGAUAUCUACUAGGUGUGCCAUUGUCUGAGCGGAAGGAUCUCCUAGUACGAGAGGAACGGAGAUUCGGAGCCUCUGGUCUACCAGUUGUUACGAGCAGGCUGGGCAGCUACGCUCCAUGCUGAUAAGUGCUGAAAGCAUCUAAGCACGAAGCAGCCCGCAAAACGAGACAAUAAAGGCCGCCAUAGAAGAUGGCGUUGAUAG
This 2738-nucleotide ribosomal RNA is filed under the name Thermoprotei archaeon. Its description in RNAcentral is "bacterial LSU rRNA". It matches the Rfam family "Archaeal large subunit ribosomal RNA". The record is from RNAcentral. Lineage: Archaea; Thermoproteati; Thermoproteota; Thermoprotei.